This 497-nucleotide ribosomal RNA is filed under the name uncultured bacterium. Its description in RNAcentral is "partial 16S ribosomal RNA". It matches the Rfam family "Bacterial small subunit ribosomal RNA", at positions 28 to 507 of the family's 1533-position model. The record is from RNAcentral.
GAUGAACGCUGGCGGCGUGCCUAAUACAUGCAAGUCGAGCGAACAGACGAGGCUCUUGCUCCUCUGACGUUAGCGGCGCACGGGUGAGUAACACGUGUAUACCCUCCCUAUAAUACUGGGAUCACUUCGGGACACCGGCUCUAAUACCGGAGAAUAUACUGCACCGCAUGGUUCGAUAGUGAAAUACGGCUUUUCUGGCACGUCUAGCUGGAUCCUGGCGGCAUUAGCUAGUUGGUAGGGUAACGGGUUACCACGGCAACGAUGCGUAGCCGACCUCAGAGGGUGGUAGGCGACACUGGAGCGGGGACACGGACAAGGGGACUGCGGGAGGCAGCAGUCGGGAAUCUUCCGCAGUGGGCGAAAGCCUGGCGGAGCAAGGCCGCGUGAGUGAUGAAGGUCUUCGGAUCGUAAAACUGUGUUAUGAGGGAAGAACAGAUGUGUAAGUAAACAUGCCCGUAUUGACGGUACCUGGUCAGAAAGCCCCGGCUAACUACGUG